Molecule: non-coding RNA, 144 nt
Organism: Mus musculus (house mouse)
Lineage: Eukaryota; Metazoa; Chordata; Mammalia; Rodentia; Muridae
Source: Rfam
UUCCCCUGGCCUUGGGCACAGAGUCACCCUGUUGGUGAUGGUGGUUUUCUAUCAGUCAGAGGCAGAGAGGGUGACAGACCUUUGUUCAUCCUAGCUUGGCACAUGGCUUGGUGGCCAAAGCUGUCUUAUGUCUAGGACUCAUAA